ACCCCGAAUAGAAGCUCACUCAAACCCAAGACAGUUGAGGCCUUGAUGUGUUUGCAAGAUUGGUAUCGUUGCAAACUCUAGAAAGUGGAAGAAUCUAAGAGAAAAGAGGAUGUGGUUAAUCUUGAUGAAGAAGAGGAUUCUUCUUCUGAUGAAGAAUAGCUGCCUGGAGCAAAGAGAGAGGGAGUUGAUAUUGGUCUGUUGGAAAAAUGAGGAGCUGCGCAUGAAGCAAAGAGAGGGUUGCUGUUACAUCUACUACUCUUCUCUUUAAUUUGGUCCCAUCUUCCAUACUUAUCUUGGACUGUAAUAAUUAUGGAGUCUCUAUUUUGGUUUUCGUCAGACUUUCAACAAUGUUUAUCAUGCUUGUACGCUGUGAAACUAUUAAGUGAUG
Lolium rigidum is the source of this 388-nucleotide long non-coding RNA. RefSeq lists it as uncharacterized. NCBI's taxonomy places the organism in Eukaryota, Viridiplantae, Streptophyta, Magnoliopsida, Poales, Poaceae. The transcript has 3 exons. The record is from RefSeq and is a predicted model, not a curated record.